This 596-nucleotide ribosomal RNA is filed under the name Papiliotrema flavescens. RNAcentral's name for it is "partial large subunit ribosomal RNA". It matches the Rfam family "Eukaryotic large subunit ribosomal RNA", at positions 36 to 605 of the family's 3401-position model. Lineage: Eukaryota; Fungi; Basidiomycota; Tremellomycetes; Tremellales; Rhynchogastremaceae. The record is from RNAcentral.
AAGCAUAUCAAUAAGCGGAGGAAAAGAAACUAACAAGGAUUCCCCUAGUAACGGCGAGUGAACCGGGAAGAGCUCAAAUUUGAAAUCUGGCGUGCUCAGUGCGUCCGAGUUGUAAUCUAUAGAGUCGUUUUCCGUGCCGGACUGUGUCCAAGUCCCUUGGAACAGGGUAUCAAAGAGGGUGAUAAUCCCGUACUUGACACAAUGACCGGUGCUCUGUGAUACGUCUUCUACGAGUCGAGUUGUUUGGGAAUGCAGCUCAAAAUGGGUGGUGAGUUCCAUCUAAAGCUAAAUAUUGGCGAGAGACCGAUAGCGAACAAGUACCGUGAGGGAAAGAUGAAAAGCACUUUGGAAAGAGAGUUAAACAGUACGUGAAAUUGUUAAAAGGGAAACGAUUGAAGUCAGUCGUGACUGAGAGGCUCAGCCGGUUCUGCCGGUGUAUUCCCCUCAGUCGGGUCAACAUCAGUUUUGUUCGGUGGAUAAGGGCAGUUGGAAGGUGGCACCCUCGGGUGUGUUAUAGCCAGCUGUCGCAUACAUCGGAUGAGACUGAGGAAUGCAGCUCGCCUUUAUGGCCGGGGUUCGCCCACGUCGAGCUAGGA